RNAcentral lists this ribosomal RNA (457 nucleotides) under uncultured bacterium. RNAcentral describes it as "bacterial SSU rRNA". It matches the Rfam family "Bacterial small subunit ribosomal RNA", at positions 335 to 784 of the family's 1533-position model. The record is from RNAcentral.
ACUCCUACGGGAGGCAGCAGUGGGGAAUAUUGCACAAUGGGCGCAAGCCUGAUGCAGCCAUGCCGCGUGUAUGAAGAAGGCCUUCGGGUUGUAAAGUACUUUCAGCAGUGAGGAAGGCAGGUACGUUAAUAGCGUGCUUGUUUGACGUUAGCUGCAGAAGAAGCACCGGCUAACUCCGUGCCAGCAGCCGCGGUAAUACGGAGGGUGCGAGCGUUAAUCGGAAUUACUGGGCGUAAAGCGCAUGCAGGUGGUUUGUUAAGUCAGAUGUGAAAGCCCGGGGCUCAACCUCGGAAUUGCAUUUGAAACUGGCAGACUAGAGUACUGUAGAGGGGGGUAGAAUUUCAGGUGUAGCGGUGAAAUGCGUAGAGAUCUGAAGGAAUACCGGUGGCGAAGGCGGCCCCCUGGACAGAUACUGACACUCAGAUGCGAAAGCGUGGGGAGCAAACAGGAUUAGAUA